GAUGAACGCUGGCGGCGUGCCUAACACAUGCAAGUCGAACGAUGAAGCCCAGCUUGUUGGGUGCAUUAGUGGCGAACGGGCGAGUAACUCGCGCGUAACCUCCCCUUCACUCUGGGUUAAGCCUGGUAAACUGGGCCUAAUACUGGAUAUGACUUCUCAUCGCAUGGUGGGGGGUGGAAAGAUUUAGUGGUCUUGGGUGGACUCGCGGCUUAUCCGCUUGUUGGUGAGGUAUUGAUUCACUAAGGCGACGCCGGGUAGCCGGUCUGAGAGGGUGACCGGCCACUGUAGGGCUAAGAGACGCCGCAGGAUCCUUCUGGGGGCAACGGUGGGGAAUAUUGCGCAGUGGGCGCGAGGCUGAUGCAGGGGCGCCGCGAGCGGGAUGACGGCCUUCGGGUUGAAAACCUCUUUGAGUAGGAAAGUAGCGAGAGUGACGGUACCUGCAGAGAAAGCGCCGGCUAACUACGUG
This 466-nucleotide ribosomal RNA is filed under the name uncultured bacterium. Its description in RNAcentral is "partial 16S ribosomal RNA". It matches the Rfam family "Bacterial small subunit ribosomal RNA", at positions 28 to 507 of the family's 1533-position model. The record is from RNAcentral.